CGUAAGCCUACUUCCGGUUCCUAGGGAUGCACAUCCGGGUCACGCUAACGCCGCGGUUUCCGCCACUCUGUUGGUUCCCGAGUGGGUCCGUAGCGGUCCCAUGUUGUGCUGUGGGGCAUCUGCAGCCUUCGGUGUGUGAAGACUGCAGAGACCUGCAAUCCAGUCACAUAAGUGUGUAAAGAGAUAGUGGUCCUCAUGGAAGAAGAGCAAGACCUACCAGAGCAACCGGUGAAGAAAGCCAAGAUGCAGGAACCAGGAGAACAAACUUUAAGUCAAGUAAACAACCCGGAUGUCAGUGAUCAGAAGCCUGAGACAUCCAGCCUUGCGUCAAAUCUUAGCAUGUCAGAGGAAAUUAUGACAUGCACCGAUUACAUCCCUCGCUCAUCCAAUGAUUAUACCUCACAAAUGUAUUCUGCAAAACCUUAUGCACAUAUCCUCUCAGUUCCUGUUUCGGAAACCGCUUACCCUGGGCAGAGUCAGUACCAGACACUGCAGCAGUCUCAACCCUACGCUGUCUAUCCUCAGGCAACCCAAACGUACGGACUACCUCCUUUUGGUGCACUGUGGCCAGGUAUGAAACCUGAAAGUGGUUUAAUUCAGACUCCAUCUCCAAGUCAACACAGUGUUCUUACCUGCACUACAGGGUUAACCACAAGCCAGCCAAGCCCAGCACAUUAUUCUUACCCCAUUCAAGCUUCAAGCACAAAUGCCAGCCUGAUAUCCUCGUCAUCCGCAAUUGCCAAUAUCCCAGCAGCAGCUGUGGCCAGCAUCUCAAACCAGGACUAUCCCACCUAUACUAUUCUUGGACAGAAUCAGUACCAGUCCUGCUACCCCAGCUCCAGCUUUGGAGUCACAGGCCAGACUAACAGUGAUGCUGAGAAUACUGCAUUAGCAGCUACCACAUACCAGACGGAGAAGCCUAGUGCUAUGGUACCCGCACCAGCCACACAGAGACUUCCCUCUGACUCAUCUACAAGCCCAUCUUUGUCCCAGACUACACCAAAUAAAGAUGCCGAUGAUCAGUCCAGGAAGAAUAUGACUGUCAAGAACCGGGGCAAGAGGAAAGCUGAUGCCGGUUCCUCCCAGGACAGCGAGUUAGAACGGGUAUUUCUCUGGGACUUAGAUGAAACCAUCAUCAUAUUUCAUUCCCUUCUUACUGGAUCCUAUGCUCAGAAGUAUGGAAAGGACCCAACAGUAGUAAUUGGCUCAGGGUUAACAAUGGAAGAAAUGAUUUUUGAAGUGGCUGAUACACAUCUGUUUUUCAAUGACUUGGAGGAGUGUGACCAGGUGCAUGUGGAAGAUGUGGCUUCUGAUGACAAUGGCCAGGAUUUGAGCAACUAUAGUUUCUCAACAGAUGGUUUCAGUGGCUCAGGAGGCAGUGGUGGCCAUGGUUCAUCGGUGGGCGUUCAGGGAGGUGUGGACUGGAUGAGGAAGCUGGCCUUCCGCUAUCGAAAAGUGAGAGAAAUCUAUGACAAGCAUAAAAGCAAUGUGGGUGGCCUCCUCAGCCCCCAGAGGAAAGAAGCCCUGCAGAGACUGCGAGCUGAGAUCGAGGUGCUCACGGACUCCUGGUUAGGAACUGCGCUCAAGUCCCUGCUCCUCAUCCAGUCUCGAAAGAAUUGUGUGAAUGUUCUGAUCACUACCACACAGCUGGUUCCGGCCCUGGCCAAAGUUCUCCUAUAUGGACUAGGAGAAAUAUUUCCUAUUGAGAACAUCUACAGUGCUACCAAAAUCGGUAAGGAGAGCUGCUUUGAGAGAAUUGUGUCAAGGUUUGGAAAGAAAGUCACAUAUGUAGUGAUUGGAGAUGGACGAGAUGAAGAAAUUGCAGCCAAGCAGCACAACAUGCCCUUCUGGAGGAUCACAAACCAUGGAGACCUGGUGUCCCUGCACCAGGCUUUAGAGCUUGACUUCCUCUAAGAACUGGAACGUGGAGCUUUCCUUCCUUGUGAGCUUCUUUUUACCUCCGACAGGAGUCAGAGGCCAGAACCCUCUGAGACCCUUCUCUCCUGUCUGUCUGUCUGUCUGUCUGUCUCUCUGUGUCUCAGCGCCCCCUCCCCUUCUCCUGUGCUCUUUCUCUCUCUCCGUGGAAUGCUGGCGAGAACACAAUCAGUUUUUGCUAAGAGUGAGCGAAACCCCGUCCAUAGUACAGCAGGAGGCGGCUGGAAAGAACAGCAGACUUCCCCCGCUACCGUGCUACAAUUCUUCGUUUCAAAAAGGAAGAACGAGAAGAGGCAGUGCGUGGGGCACAGUUGCACUCUUGGUGCAUGGACAGACCGGGAGCUGCUCCUGAUCAUGCUGACGGAAAAUGCGUUUGUCCCAUGAGAACAUCUCCUGUAAUCUUAGCUGUAGAACUCUCUCCCAGUGAAUGGCUCUUUACAACAGGAAUUUGGACUUGGCCAAGAGAGGCAAGGAGAUAUUCUGAGCUGAAGCGCCUCUGCUCUGGCAGCAGCCACCCUGUCAGAGGGCAGACAGGAAGCAAGAGUGUGUUGGUGUGUCCACCAAAAGGAGCAUCCAGGGACUGCUGCCCUUUGUCCCCCAAAGGCCUGGGAAGGAAAAUGAGCUGGCAGCAGUGGAACAGUUAGUACGGGAAAGAUGGCUCCUUGGUUCCUAGCAUCGGCUGCUGAUGCAGAGUUCCAGGGUGUGAGCACCUGCAGGGCUGCUCACAGCCAUCUGUAACUACGGUUCCAGAGGAUCUGAUCCCCUCUUCCGGCCUCUUCAGGCACCAAGCACUUAUAUACACGCAAGAAAAAACUCAUAACACAUAAAAUAAAAUGUCUUUAAAAAAGUAAAAGCUGUUGGAAUUGGACCUGAAAGAAACUGGGUCCUUUCAUCAAAAAGAGGCAGUCUUUACUGGAAAGAGCACCCUGAAGUGAUUAGCUGGUAAAUCCUUCCCCUGAUGGAUCCAGUGUUUUCAAGGGUUAGUCUGGACAUCUCAUGGUGUGGGCUAAUUCUAGGAGUGUCUGUGGAGUUGCAGGAAUGUUCCGGGAUAAGAGGUGACUUUCGAAUGUAAAACUGACUGUGCCUUAGCAUCACCAUGUCCGGUGCCCUUGGGGCAGCUGGUGAUGUCCAGGAGAGUGGAUACCUGCUCCAGAACUUAGGUGCCUGUUUGGGCUGUUGAUUUGGGGGUGGUCUGCCUUCUCUACAAGUUGGGUGUCAGAGCUAGCUAGUAUCCCAAGAGACUUGGCACAGCUUGUCUGCGGUUCACACAAACUCAACCCUUACAGCUCCAAGUAGACUCUAACUGGCAUACUGCAGCUUGCAAGCAUGUGGCACUUCUAGACACUACUUUGAAUGGGAGUCACACAUUGACAAGAGCACCAGGCAAAGCAUGGUGCUGUCCUCCUGGAGAGUACAGGCUAGCCCCUCAGAGGCAAGCUUGGGCUCUCCUUCCUUACUCCUCCCCAGGGUGCAGCUGAGACCCUUCUUGAGUAAGCUUAUGUUCCUUGCUGCUAACCUGGUCUCCAUCUUAAAGAAGCUACAACUAUCCAGACAGAUUCAUUGUAGAUGCCAAGUUGGAAUUCUGAGCUCAGAUACCUUAACCACAAGAGGCAAAAAUCUGCUUGUGUCCCAGUCCGCAGGCCACCCGUCCUCCCUCUCCCCUGAGUCGGCUCUAGCAGGCAAGGCUCCCUGGAUGCCUCCUAGCACACUGAGCGGAGCUAUCCACUAAGGACCAUUUCUACUUGGAUCACCACUCUCCCUCUGGACUUCAGAUGCCUCUUUAGCAGGAAAAGGCAUCAGUUGGGUUGGAUGUAUUUAUGUGACUGCGGGCAUUUGUGGCUAUAGAGUCCUUGACCAUAAUGUUAUAUGUAAUGGGAACUAUCUUAUAAACUUGAAAAAAAUAAAAUUUUUAUUUUCUAUA
RNA transcript from Peromyscus eremicus (cactus mouse), 3856 nucleotides. It is a transcript of the gene named EYA transcriptional coactivator and phosphatase 3, with no coding region annotated. NCBI's taxonomy places the organism in Eukaryota, Metazoa, Chordata, Mammalia, Rodentia, Cricetidae. The transcript has 19 exons. The record is from RefSeq and is a predicted model, not a curated record.